RNAcentral lists this ribosomal RNA (374 nucleotides) under uncultured organism. Its description in RNAcentral is "partial 16S ribosomal RNA". It matches the Rfam family "Bacterial small subunit ribosomal RNA", at positions 527 to 896 of the family's 1533-position model. The record is from RNAcentral.
GGAGGGUCCGAGCGUUUAAUCGGAAUUACUGGGCGUAAAGCGUACGUAGGUGGCUUGAUUAGUCGGAUGUGAAAGCCCUGGGCUCAACCUGGGAACUGCAUUCGAUACUGUCAGGCUAGAGUAUAGUAGAGGCAAGUGGAAUUCCGGGUGUAGCGGUGAAAUGCGUAGAUAUCCGGAGGAACACCAGUGGCGAAGGCGGCUUGCUGGACUAAUACUGACACUGAGGUACGAAAGCGUGGGGAGCAAACAGGGAUUAGAUACCCUGGUAGUCCACGCCCUAAACGAUGUCAACUAGCCCGUUGGAGGAAUUUAAUCCUUUAGUAGCGCAGCUAACGCGAUAAGUUGACCGCCUGGGGAGUACGGUCGCAAGAUUA